RNAcentral lists this non-coding RNA (25 nucleotides) under Rattus norvegicus (Norway rat). Lineage: Eukaryota; Metazoa; Chordata; Mammalia; Rodentia; Muridae. The record is from RNAcentral.
CUCAUGGGAUGGCAUGGCUCUAUGG